RNAcentral lists this ribosomal RNA (462 nucleotides) under uncultured microorganism. RNAcentral describes it as "bacterial SSU rRNA". It matches the Rfam family "Bacterial small subunit ribosomal RNA", at positions 9 to 514 of the family's 1533-position model. The record is from RNAcentral.
GAGUUUGAUCGUGGCUCAGAGCGAACGCUGGCGGCAGGCUUAACACAUGCAAGUCGAGCGGGCGUAGCAAUACGUCAGCGGCAGACGGGUGAGUAACACGUGGGAACGUACCUUUUGGUUCGGAACAACUGAGGGAAACUUCAGCUAAUACCGGAUAAGCCCUAACGGGGAAAGAUUUAUCGCCGAAAGAUCGGCCCGCGUCUGAUUAGCUAGUUGGUGAGGUAACGGCUCACCAAGGCGACGAUCAGUAGCUGGGUCUGAGAGGAUGAUCAGCCACACUGGGACUGAGACACGGCCCAGACUCCUACGGGAGGCAGCAGUGGGGAAUAUUGGACAAUGGGGGCAACCCUGAUCCAGCCAUGCCGCGUGAGUGAUGAAGGCCCUAGGGUUGUAAAGCUCUUUUGUGCGGGAAGAUAAUGACGGUACCGCAAGAAUAAGCCCCGACUAACUUCGUGGCAGCCG